GGCAGAUGAUGGCUUACUUCACGAUGGUCUGCGAAUGCCCCUGUGGGCAGUGCCGACGAUGCCAAUGGCUCAGCUGAUGCCAGGAA
Molecule: small nucleolar RNA, 86 nt
Filed under: Procavia capensis (Cape rock hyrax)
Lineage: Eukaryota; Metazoa; Chordata; Mammalia; Hyracoidea; Procaviidae
Description: Small nucleolar RNA SNORD35 (ENSPCAG00000020105.1)
Rfam family: Small nucleolar RNA SNORD35
About the family: U35 is a C/D box snoRNA located in intron 6 of ribosomal protein L13A and intron 3 of ribosomal protein S11 in humans and at homologous positions in mouse and chicken ribosomal protein genes. U35 guides the methylation of 2'-O-ribose sites in 28S rRNA.
Source: RNAcentral